GACAAAGCACUUCAAAUCUUCCACCAGAUGAUCGACAUGAAAGUGAAGCCCGACGCUUUUCUAUACACCGUCGUCAUCGGACAUCUGUGCAAGAUCAACAAGUUAGACUUGGCGGCCUCCUACUUCGAACGAAUGGUACAAAGCGGCUGCUUACCCGACAAAGUCACGUACACCGUUCUCGUCCACAGCCUCUUCAAAGCUUGCAAGUGGGAACAAGGCCACCAGAUCUUCGAAGAGAUGUUGAGCAAAGGACACUCUCCCGAGCUGGUUAC
Molecule: long non-coding RNA, 272 nt
Filed under: Selaginella moellendorffii
Lineage: Eukaryota; Viridiplantae; Streptophyta; Lycopodiopsida; Selaginellales; Selaginellaceae
Description: long non-coding RNA (SMOE_LNC002229)
Source: RNAcentral